AACGAACGCUGGCGGCAUGCCUAACACAUGCAAGUCGAACGAGACCUUCGGGAGUAGUGGCGCACGGGUGCGUCGCGCGUCGGAAGCGUCCCUUAGGUUCGGAAUAACUCCCCGAAAGGGGUGAUAAUGCCGGAUAAUGUCUUCUAACCAAAGAUUUAUCGCACUUGGAUGGGCCCGCGUUGUAUAAGCUUGUUGGGAGGGUAAAAGCCUACCAAGGCGAGGAUCCAUAGCUGGGCUGAGAGGCUGAUCAGCCACUCUGGGACGGAGAAACGGCCGGGAAUCUUACGCGAUGCAGGAGUGGGUGAUAUUGCACAACGGCGGAAAUCCUGAUCCACUUCUGCUGGGUGAGCGCUGAAGUUCUUAGGGUUGUAAAGCUCUUUUAUCCGGGAUGAUAAUGACAGUACCGGGAGAAUAAGCCCCGGCUAACUCCGUG
RNAcentral lists this ribosomal RNA (433 nucleotides) under uncultured bacterium. RNAcentral describes it as "partial 16S ribosomal RNA". It matches the Rfam family "Bacterial small subunit ribosomal RNA", at positions 29 to 507 of the family's 1533-position model. The record is from RNAcentral.